CCCCGACUGCUUCUAUUUAUACCAAGAAGCUUUCCGUCAUUUAUUUUUUCUCUUGCUGUUCUUCUUCCAUUUUUCUUCUGUUACAUUCCACCUGUUCGAUUUUCCAUGAACAUCCCGUUUCUUAUUUUUCCCAAUUUUUUCAGGGUUUUUAGGGUUUUCACUCGAUUCAGAAUAUCCUCCAACACUUCCCCCUCUAGCAGUUCUAGGAGUUCGUCCAUUCCAGCCCUCCAAAAUCUUAGUUCUGUAGAUGAACCUCAUCCGAUCUUUGUACCAGACACCAUUCCUAGCUCUCUGACUUCGAAAUAACUCUCACUGAUUAGGAUUCAGUAUGAGGUUCCUUCGAAGUACGAGCUGGAGCUCCCCGAGCCGACUGGCUGGGCCAGCGCUCCUCCCCCCGAUUGCUUCUAUUUAUACCAAGAAGCUUUCCGCAUCGGACUUCGACUUUUGCUUCCAUCAUUUGUU
This 462-nucleotide long non-coding RNA is filed under the name Elaeis guineensis (African oil palm). RNAcentral describes it as "long non-coding RNA (EGUI_LNC038238)". The record is from RNAcentral. Lineage: Eukaryota; Viridiplantae; Streptophyta; Magnoliopsida; Arecales; Arecaceae.